This is an unclassified non-coding RNA of Dasypus novemcinctus (nine-banded armadillo), 99 nucleotides long. The record is from Ensembl. NCBI's taxonomy places the organism in Eukaryota, Metazoa, Chordata, Mammalia, Cingulata, Dasypodidae.
CCUGCUUGCUUGUUCUGUGACUUUCAGAAUAAGAUCCUUUGUGCAGUGCCCAGUUCAUUAAAUAGAAAAUUGCCUUCAUCUUGGAUGCUGUUGUUCUGG